RNAcentral lists this long non-coding RNA (2541 nucleotides) under Rattus norvegicus (Norway rat). RNAcentral's name for it is "long non-coding RNA NONRATT011144". The record is from RNAcentral. Lineage: Eukaryota; Metazoa; Chordata; Mammalia; Rodentia; Muridae.
ACGUUCCCGGUCUCUUGUUCAGUUUUGUUCUGCGAACCCUGUAGGGGUAAAAUAGAAGGACAUCACCUAGCACAUGAUGUGACUAUAGUAGAGAGGACUUUAACUCAGAACCAUGGUCGUUCUAGACAAACAUCAAACCAGAGAUCUCCCUAAACUUGGCACUUUCUUUCAUAGGUUUGCACAGAGCCUCCAAGAUCUUCAAAACCUUUCUUACUUCCUACGACAUUAGCCCCGUUAGUUUUCCUCGGUUUACAUAUUUCCAUUUCCCUCCCUCACAGUCCUGCUCUAAUCUGGGAAAGGGCAUCUGAAACCCUCACCUCAGAAGAGCUACUUCCUUAUUGCGGAGGCCACACUUAAAGGUGUUCACGAGUAGUGACGCCAGCAUCUAGAUCAGUGCACGGGGCCUUUCCAGGGCUCUCACUUAACAGCACUGCCUUGGAAUCUUUUAAAUAGUCUCAUAAAUAAUUUGCUUAUAGUAUUGUUAGUUUGAGUUUUAUGUGAGGAGCUGUCUGACAUCAGAGAAAUGAAAUCCCUCCCUGUCUGCACAGAAGGUCUCUGACAGUAUUGAUUCAUGGAAGCACUAAUGGACUUUGAAAACAUUAAGAAUGCCAUUUCUCCGGAGUGUUUCGGUUUGUGAAAAUGAAUCUCCUGAAUUAUGAUCCUUCUCCCUGUUAGUUGGCUGGGGGAAGAGAUAAAAGCUAUAUAAACAACUUCUCUUCUAUGCUGAAAGCAAGGGUCUAUGUCCACAGCCUCCUAGAGACGGGGACUCCUGUCACUUAAUUGAGUUUCGACAACAAUUAUUUCUCAGAUGACAAUGCCACCACUCUAAGUGAGUUGACAAGGGGAAGAGUCACAUCAAUAACCGUUCCCCCCCCCUGAAUUUCUUCUCUAGAAAUGUGAAGUGUUUCAGUGACUCUUGUUAUGAAUUAUUCUUUUUUCAAAAGCAGGUGUAGCCAAGUCCUUGACAGAGAUUAAUCUUUGUUGAGAAAUGAGGGUUUAUAAGAGAGAAUUCCUCUCCAAUUUCUACUAGUAAAAGUGUCCAGUCAAUCAAAAACUAAGAUAUUAUUUUAGGAAUAUUUUGACAUCUUCCUUUUAUACUCAUUUUGUUCUCUAAAAAUACAACAAUAAAACAUUACAGAUGUGUUUUCCCCUACCCAUGUUUCUAGCUUUCCUGUGGCAGAAUUUUGUGAUUGUAUCCAGAUCAUAGAAUAUAUUUUGUUCCUCAAAUUAUUACAUUCAGUAGAUAUCAUUGAACCAGGCACUGGUGCCUGCAUGCAAGGCUCUUUCCUAUCAACUUGUGUGUGUACAACUUGUUGUGUUUGAAGGUUCAUCUUUGAAACCCACUGUCUCCCGCCAAGGGAUGGCAGUUGUAUUGUUUUGUCCAUGUCUAUGUGGGACACAUUGCAUCACAUGGCAAAGCAACUGUAAAUGGAUGUGAGAUCAAGACUAACAAAACCAGCUUGAAAACAUUGUCUUACGUAUUACAUCAUCCUGCCUCAUAAUGCAAUUAUGUGUAUCAUGAUCACCUUUUACAAAGAGAAACCAGCAAAUUCAUGUUUGUCCAUAGAAGGGUGUACUAGGAAUUGUCUGUGUUGUGAAACUAUGAGAACAGACCACCUUUAAUAUACCCACCUGCCACUUAAAAUGACUUAGUUAUAAUUAGUAGUAGUCUAGACGUUGCUCUUGGUGUGUGGGGGUCAGUGCAGACGUCAUAUUCUUUUGAAUAAAUCUCCCAGUCAUAUCUGAAAAAAAAACACAUGAGAAUAAAGAAAAACAUCAUCUUUGGCCAAAUCAAGCAGUCAUCUCUUUGCUUUUCCUCAACAGUAAGCUCAUUACACAUUGUGAUUGGAUCACAAGAUCUUCUGUGUGAAAAUAUGAAAAUGUCGUUUACUUAUUCUAGGCUGGAAACCUCUGCACAGCAAAGGAAAUAGAUGAGCUGCUUCUGGUUCAUAUUUAUGGAUGUAAUCUUACAGAAAGACUCUUGGGCAUAUGACCCAGAGAGUUAGAGUGCCCAGAGGAAAGCCUACACAUAAAGAUAAAGUCCCCCAAGGAUGCUGGCAAGCAAAUGUGUUGAGUUCUUAAAUCUCUAUUCGGUUUUUCUGUUCAGAGUUUUAAUUGCAAAUGAAUUUAUUUCUUCAGCUUAAAGAUCUAAUUUCCUAAUAGUUUCCUCCACAUUUAUAUACUCUGUAGUGUUUAGGCAGCUCCUGUUAUAAGUUUAUUAAUAUUAUGUAAGUGUUGUUCUUGUAUUUAUGUAUAGUGUAUGUAUUGUAAAUAUACUCAGAGCUUUUCCUUUUUACUGUAAAAUGGUGAUUUUUUUUGCCCUAUGAUAAUGAACAGGGAGACUCUCCUAAUGAGAUUCUCUCAGUUAUUCCAGUCUAUUCUCAGAGAUUUAAAUGAACAAGUGUUAUCGUUUUCAAUGGUGUCUCAGACAUAUUCUGUUGGUGCAUCGCUUUUCUGUAUUCAACUUUCCUAUGAAUUGAGCUGUGAACUAAAAUAGAGUUUAAACCUUUAUCUGUAUGCAUUUGUAUAAUUAUCUGAAUG